AGAGCGAACGCUGGCGGCAGGCCUAACACAUGCAAGUCGAACGGACUCUUCGGAGUUAGUGGCGGACGGGUGAGUAACACGUGGGAACGUGCCUUUUGGUUCGGAAUAGCUCCUGGAAACGGGUGGUAAUGCCGAAUGUGCCCUUCGGGGGAAAGAUUUAUCGCCAUUAGAGCGGCCCGCGUCUGAUUAGCUAGUUGGUGAGGUUAAAGCUCACCAAGGCUACGAUCAGUAGCUGGUCUGAGAGGAU
Molecule: ribosomal RNA, 247 nt
Filed under: uncultured soil bacterium
Lineage: Bacteria
Description: partial 16S ribosomal RNA
Rfam family: Bacterial small subunit ribosomal RNA
Source: RNAcentral